GCUGGCGGCGUGGAUAAGGCAUGCAAGUCGAGCGAGAAAGUCCCUUCGGGGAGCGAGUACAGCGGCAAACGGGUGAGUACCACGUGGGUAACUUGCCUUCGGGUGGGGGACAACCUCGGGAAACCGAGGCUAAUACCGCAUAACGUUAUGCUUUCGCAUGUUAGCAUAACCAAAGGGGGGGAUCUUCGGACCUCCCGCCUGAAGAGAGGCCCGCGCCUGAUUAGCUAGUUGGUAGGGUAAUGGCCUACCAAGGCGAUGAUCAGUAGCCGGUCUGAGAGGAUGGCUGGCCACACUGGGAUUGAGAUACGGCCCAGACUCCUACGGGAGGCAGCAGUCUAGAAGCUUCGGCAAUGGGCGAAAGCCUGACCGAGCGACGCCGCGUGCAGGACGACGGUCUUCGGAUUGUAAACUGCUUUCGACAGGGAUGAACGGUAAGGAAGUUAAUAACUUCUUUAUUUGACAGUACCUGGAGAAGAAGCCCCGGCUAACUCCGUGCCAGCAGCCGCGGUAAUACGGAGGGGGCAAGCGUUGUUCGGAUUUAUUGGGCGUAAAGCGCGUGUAGGCGGUAGAGUAAGUCGAAUGUUAAAGACCCACGGUUCACCCGGGGGAAUGCGUCCGAUACUGCUUUACUUGAGUGCGGGAGAGGAAAGUGGAAUUCCUGGUGUAGCGGUGAAAUGCGUAGAUAUCAGGAGGAACACCGGUGGCGAAGGCGGCUUUCUGGCCCGCAACUGACGCUGAGACGCGAAAGCGUGGGGA
Molecule: ribosomal RNA, 756 nt
Filed under: uncultured organism
Description: bacterial SSU rRNA
Rfam family: Bacterial small subunit ribosomal RNA
Source: RNAcentral